GGAGCCGACCUUGAAAUACCACCCUUUAAUGUUUGAUGUUCUAACGUGGACCCGUGAUCCGGGUUGCGGACAGUGUCUGGUGGGUAGUUUGACUGGGGCGGUCUCCUCCUAAAGAGUAACGGAGGAGCACGAAGGUUGGCUAAUCCUGGUCGGACAUCAGGAGGUUAGUGCAAUGGCAUAAGCCAGCUUGACUGCGAGCGUGACGGCGCGAGCAGGUGCGAAAGCAGGUCAUAGUGAUCCGGUGGUUCUGAAUGGAAGGGCCAUCGCUCAACGGAUAAAAGGUACUCCGGGGAUAACAGGCUGAUACCGCCCAAGAGUUCAUAUCGACGGCGGUGUUUGGCACCUCGAUGUCGGCUCAUCACAUCCUGGGGCUGAAGUAGGUCCCAAGGGUAUGGCUGUUCGCCAUUUAAAGUGGUACGCGAGCUGGGUUUAGAACGUCGUGAGACAGUUCGGUCCCUAUCUGCCGUGGGCGCUGGAGAACUGAGGGGGGCUGCUCCUAGUACGAGAGGACCGGAGUGGACGCAUCACUGGUGUUCGGGUUGUCAUGCCAAUGGCACUGCCCGGUAGCUAAAUGCGGAAGAGAUAAGUGCUGAAAGCAUCUAAGCACGAAACUUGCCCCGAGAUGAGUUCUCCCUGAGACUUUAGGUCUCCUGAAGGAACGUUGAAGACGACGACGUUGAUAGGCCGGGUGUGUAAGCGCAGCGAUGCGUUGAGCUAACCGGUACUAAUGAACCGUGAGGCUUAACCUUACAACGCCG
RNAcentral lists this ribosomal RNA (758 nucleotides) under Salmonella enterica. RNAcentral describes it as "partial 23S ribosomal RNA". It matches the Rfam family "Bacterial large subunit ribosomal RNA", at positions 2182 to 2925 of the family's 2925-position model. Lineage: Bacteria; Pseudomonadati; Pseudomonadota; Gammaproteobacteria; Enterobacterales; Enterobacteriaceae. The record is from RNAcentral.